Molecule: ribosomal RNA, 1101 nt
Filed under: Paracaprella pusilla
Lineage: Eukaryota; Metazoa; Arthropoda; Malacostraca; Amphipoda; Caprellidae
Description: partial large subunit ribosomal RNA
Rfam family: Eukaryotic large subunit ribosomal RNA
Source: RNAcentral
GGCGAACGAAAAGGAAUGAGCCCAGCGCAGAACGUUCCGGGGCACUCGCCCUGAGAAUGAAUGUUGCGUUAAGGAUAUUGGCAUACACCCAUGGCAGUUACACUUUGCUAAGUCAGCCUCGAAUGGUUCUCGUGAAGCCGGUAACACGGUGAGACUCCAGGGAGGGUGUUAGACCCGUGUGAAGGUGCAAUCUGCUUGGGCAAGCCGAUAUCCCGAGAGUCGCGUUGUUUGAACAUGCAGCGCUAAGCAGGUCGUAGACUCGAUCUAAGGCUAAAUAUGUCCACAGAACCGAUAGUUAACAAGUACCGUGAGGGAAAGUUGAAAAGCACUCCGUAACGGAGAGUCAAAAGACCGUGAAACCACUCAGAGUAUAAGCCAAUGGUGUCUGGAAGGUCCUGUGCUUACAUCUUGGUGUCAAGGACUCAUGCGAACCUCAGCACUUGCGGGAGCAAUCUCCGUUGCUUUGGUAAGCUUGUCCGCUGAAGCACUCCGUUGACCCACCUGGCUCGUUGUGAGGUGUCCUGAGAGCAAAGCGAAGUGUUAAGAUUGGCUUGGAGUUGGGCGUGGGCGUCUCGAUGCCUUUCGCACUCUCCUUUUCGAGCACUUCUUCAGUUCUAUUCGCACAAAGUGUGGUAGUCUUGGAGUGUGCGCUGCUUGACGCUCUCUGGAACCAUCCUCUGCGACGAAGCUUCAAUGCCUUAGUGAGCGGCCGUCUUCCUCCUCGGGAGUCGGUACAUUGGCGCGGCUUGCACACUGUCGGUGCUCCGCUGUUCAACUCUGGCGCAAGGUGUUACGUCCGAUACCAUUGGUCACGUCUCGAAACACGGGCCAAGGAGUAUAGCGUGUGUGCAAGUCUAAGGGUUCCACAAAACCUGGAGGCGUAGUGAAAGCGAGUUAUGGUGUCUCACUGGACUGAUGGAGAAGGCAGUGAUGCGUGAUCCCGCAAGUCCCGGACUCGUCGUCUGCACUGCUUCGGUUGUGUUAGCGCGAGCACCGCAGAGCACAUACGCUAUGACCCGAAAGAUAGUGAACUAUGCUUGGCGAGGGUGAAGCCCCAGGAAACUGGGGUGGAGGCCCGUAGCCGUUGUGACGUGCAAAUCC